AUGGCGGCGGCGGCGGCGAAACUAGGCGAUGGCGGCCAUUCAACGGGUGGAGGUGGAAGGGGGGAUGGAGGCGGCGAGUUCUCAGAGGUUGAUAACUGGCUGGGGAGCGGUAGCUUCGCAACCCAGCCGGCGGCGCCGCCGCCGCCGCAGCGGACACCACAGGCUGCAGCUCUGAUGCAGGCUCCUACGACACAGGCUACACCGCCGUCGCCUGAUGAUUGCCAGUUCUCACUUGAGUACAGAGCAGCGAGGUCUCUUGCUAGGGCUAUGCAUGCAGAUCCGGCCAACUCCCAGCACUGGGCCUCUGCAUUUGGAGGGGUGAAGCUGGAUGAUGAAAUUUGGGAUGUUAGGCUGCAUUUCCAGGGCAGAGAUAAUAUGGAAAGGAGAUUUUCUGUUUCAGACAUCACAUUUCUGAACUUGAUAGCACUUACUGAGACUGAAGGCUAUGGGUCAGAUGACUACAUGUACUGGGUAAAAGAACAAGGGAUUGGACAGGAAGGUUUAUUUCUUCUGGACAGUCAAGAUGCAGUUGAAGAAAUGAUAGACCACCCAGAUUUCACAGUGCUCAAUAUCAUUGUUUCCAAGGCAAAUGAAGAUAGAGAUGUUGAAUCUAAUGAUGGAGAUGAUGAUGGGCAGGCUGCUAGUCAAGAGGAUGAUGAUAUUGACAAAUCAUCCUCAGACUUUGAGAUUGAUAGGGGUGACUAUAGAGGGAUAAAGAUGUCUUACAAGGCUUGGAAGAGAGGUGAAGAAAAUAUUGGAAAUGAAGAAGAAAGAGAUGCUAUAGAAGACAGACAACAGUUUGAAGGUGACAGUGAUGUUUCAGAGUUUUGGCAGGAGGAGAAAGAGGCAGACAGUGGAGAGGAAAUAGUUGUGGAAAAAUGCAGGCCUGAGAAACUCAAGCCUGUGAGAAGAGCAGCAGCAAAUCCAGGUCCAACUUCCAGAGCUCACAGUCAGCCAGAGAUCCCAAAGUUUCAAGAUUUUGUACCUGAAGCUGAUGAGUAUUGCUUCCCUGGUGAUGUGGGCAUUUCUGACUCAGAUGGGGAGACUCCAAGACUACCUUCUGGAAGGAAGAGAAGAUUGAAGAAGAAGAAAGAGAGGAAAUGGUAUGACCCAAAGGUACCUGAUGCACAUGAGCAGUUGUGCAAGGACCUUUGCUUCACCAAUGUGUAUGAGUUUAGAAAGGCAUUGAGAAAUUUUCAUGUUAGGACUUUGAGAAACUUUCAGUACCAUAGGAAUGAACCAUCAAGGGUUAUUGUUUGGUGCCCAAAGAGGAAGAAUGGAUGUGAUUUUUUCAUGACUGCAUCCAAAGUAGCCCAUGAAGAUACAUUCACAAUCAAGAAGUGCCACAUGGAUCAUAGUUGUGGAGCUUGUGGAGAGAGUACAAAGGUUACUGUUGAAUGGGCUGCAGAAGCUAUGGAGGACACAGUUAGAUCAAAUGUAAAGGCUGAUGUAGAGACAGUUCUCAAACAUACUAAGAAGAAGUUUGGGGUGCAUGUACCUAGGAGUUUGGCAUAUAGGGCAAGACUGAUGGCUGUUGAUGUUGUGCAAGGUGAUCAUAGAAAGCAGUAUCUGAGGUUGAGGGACUACCUACAAUGUGUGCUUGACACAAACCCUGGAAGCAGGUGUAUAGUGACAACUUUUGAGGAUCCUUUGAACCCAGCCCCCACACCAAGGUUCAAGUACAUGUUCUAUUGCCUCCAGGCAUCAAAAGAUGGAUUUCUUGCUAGUUGUAGGCCUUUCAUAGGACUUGAUGGUUGCUUCAUCAAGUUAUCCACAGGCCAGCAGAUAUUGGCAGCAACUGGGAGAGAUGGGAACAACAAUGUGUUCCCAAUUGCUUUUGGGGUGGUUGACAAAGAGGAUGGGCCUAGCUGGACCUGGUUUUUAAACCAACUUAGAGUCUGCAUUGGCACCAGCAACCAGUUUGGGAACUACACCAUCAUGUCUGACAGGCAGAAGGGCCUUCUUAAAGCAAUUAAUGAAGUAUUUCCUCAAUCCCCACAAAGAUAUUGCCUAAGACACAUAUAUGCCAACUUCCAGUCAGCUGGCUUUAGAGCAGAAGAACUUAAGAAAUGGGUUGACAAAGCUAGCUAUUCCUUCACUGAACAUGGUCACAAAGAAGGAAUGGCAGGUUUGAAAGCAGCAUGCGAACCAGCCUACAUGUGGUUGAAUGGCAUCCCUAAGGAGUGUUGGGCUAGAUAUGCAAUGGAUCAUGUGUGCAAGACUGACUUGGUAGUGAACAACCUUAGUGAGGUUUUCAACAAAAUGAUUCUAGAUGUUAGGUCAAAACCAAUUAAGACCAUGUUUGAAGGGUUGAGGACCAAACUAAUGGUUAAGUAUCAGGGCAUCAGAGAGAAAACAGAGAGCUGUAGGUGGGAAAUAACCCCACAUUACAUGGAGAAGCUUGAGGAGAGCAAGAAGUGGGCUAAAUACUGUGAAGCAAACAUGGCUGGUCCCAACAUCUGUCAAGUAACUAGUGGAGAGAACACAUACUGUGUGAAGCUUGAUGUAGGGAGCUGCUCUUGCAGGAGGUGGGACAUGACUGGAUCACCUUGCCACCAUGCAAUAUCUGCAAUGCAGAAGAUAAAAGUUCACCCAGAAGAUUAUGUGCAUCCAUUCUUUAAGAAGCCAAUGUAUAAGGCUGCAUACCAGCACAUCAUCUACCCUGUCCCUGGCCCUGAAUUCUGGCCCAACACCAACACACCAGACAUAGAACCACCAGUUUUUAGGGAGAAGAAAGGCAAGAAGCAGACAACUAGGAGAAAGGGUGAAUUUGAGGUGCCAGCUCCAAAGGAUACAUCAAGGAUGGGCACAAUAACAUGCAGUAACUGUGGUCUGCAAGGCCACAGGUGGACAAUGUGUGGAGACAGACUUAAGGCCAAGUUUAUGACAAGGAAAAACAACCACCAGGCCACAUCAUCAGGUCUAGCUCCAGCUUCAGGUCCAGCUCCAGCUUCAGGUCCUGCUCCAGCUUUAGGACCACUUAGGGGCAGGAAACUAGCAACAGCUUCAACAAGGUCAACCACAUCUGCUACAACAAGGGCAACCACAUCUACUGCAGUUUCAACAGGUGGAUCAAGAAAGAGAAAGAACCCACCACCUACUUCAGCACCAGCCAACAACACCAGGUCAAGUGCAUCAUCUCCAGCAAAGAACACCAGGUCAAGUGCAAGAGGUUUCAAUGCUCCAAGGGCAGCAUCAACAUCAGGUCAAGCUGAUGUUGGUUCUAAGAGGAAGAGGAAGGCCCCAAGCAAACUUGCUUUGUAUUUCACAGCUAGUGGCAGCCAUUGA
This 3288-nucleotide ribosomal RNA is filed under the name Triticum aestivum (bread wheat). RNAcentral's name for it is "partial small subunit ribosomal RNA". Lineage: Eukaryota; Viridiplantae; Streptophyta; Magnoliopsida; Poales; Poaceae. The record is from RNAcentral.